RNAcentral lists this non-coding RNA (30 nucleotides) under Cricetulus griseus (Chinese hamster). The record is from RNAcentral. Lineage: Eukaryota; Metazoa; Chordata; Mammalia; Rodentia; Cricetidae.
CUUCUUAGGACAAUGUCAAGAAGGAAGGCU